Molecule: ribosomal RNA, 253 nt
Filed under: uncultured bacterium
Lineage: Bacteria
Description: partial 16S ribosomal RNA
Rfam family: Bacterial small subunit ribosomal RNA
Source: RNAcentral
UACGUAGGGUGCAAGCGUUGUCCGGAAUUAUUGGGCGUAAAGAGCUCGUAGGCGGUUUGUUGCGUCGGCUGUGAAAUCCCGAGGCUCAACCUCGGGUCUGCAGUCGAUACGAGCAAACUAGAGUGUUGCAGGGGAGACUGGAAUUCCUGGUGUAGCGGUGAAAUGCGCAGAUAUCAGGAGGAACACCCGUAGCGAAGGCGGCACUCUGGGCCGGAACUGACGCUGAGGAGCGAAAGCGUGGGGAGCGAACAGG